Molecule: ribosomal RNA, 459 nt
Filed under: uncultured bacterium
Lineage: Bacteria
Description: partial 16S ribosomal RNA
Rfam family: Bacterial small subunit ribosomal RNA
Source: RNAcentral
CCUACGUGGGUCAGCAGUGAGGAAUAUUGGUCAAUGGGCGCUAGCCUGAACCAGCCAAGUAGCGUGAAGGAUGACUGCCCUAUGGGUUGUAAACUUCUUUUAUAUGGGUAUAAAGUGCAGUAUGUAUACUGCUUUGCAUGUACCUUAUGAAUAAGGAUCGGCUAACUCCGUGCCAGCAGCCGCGGUAAUACGGAGGAUUCGAGCGUUAUCCGGAUUUCUUGGGUUUAAAGGGAGCGAGGGCGGGUUGUGAAGUCAGUGGUGAAAGUUUGCGGAUCAACCCCGGCCGGCCGUUGAGACUGGGGAUCGUGAGUGGGCGAGAAGUAUGCGGAAUGCGUGGUGUAGCGGUGAAAUGCAUAGAGAUCACGAAGAACUCCGAUUGCGAAGGCAGCAUACCGGCGCCCGACUGACGCUGAGGCACGAAAGCGUGGGGAUCGAACAGGAUUAGAUACCCCGGUAGUC